RNAcentral lists this long non-coding RNA (376 nucleotides) under Rosa chinensis. Its description in RNAcentral is "sRNA RchiOBHm_Chr5g0060511". The record is from RNAcentral. Lineage: Eukaryota; Viridiplantae; Streptophyta; Magnoliopsida; Rosales; Rosaceae.
GACUCACCCCGACUCUCUCUCUCUCUGACUCUCUCGCUCUCCGACUCUCACUCUGGCUCACUCCACAGCUACCCCGACUCACUCCACAAUCCUAAACCCUAAAUCCACCACCUCCAAAGCGAAGCCUUCGAAGCCCUAAAUGGGAGAUUUCUCUUAGAAUCCAAUUGGGAUCAUAUUUUGACGUGGAUUCAUAUCGAAGUAGCCUUAGACUUGGAUUCACGUCGGAGCCCUAAACAAUUUCAUCAUCUCGAACUUCGAUUCACGCCUUUGAUUCGAUUUGUCUCGAACUUGCUUUCGCUCUUAUGCUAUGCAGUUGGUAUGGAAAUUGAUAAAUGCUUUCGCUCUCAUGAGUUCAUGGCCUGAAAGAAUAUUUUGA